This 253-nucleotide ribosomal RNA is filed under the name uncultured microorganism. Its description in RNAcentral is "partial 16S ribosomal RNA". It matches the Rfam family "Bacterial small subunit ribosomal RNA", at positions 524 to 776 of the family's 1533-position model. The record is from RNAcentral.
UACGUAGGGUGCGAGCGUUAAUCGGAUUUACUGGGCGUAAAGCGUGCGCAGGCGGCCCGUUAAGACAGGUGUGAAAUCCCUGGGCUCUACCUAGGAAUUGCGCUUGUGACUGGCGGGCUCGAGUACGGUAGAGGGGGGUGGAAUUCCUGGUGUAGCAGUGAAAUGCGUAGAGAUCAGGAGGAACACCGAUGGCGAAGGCAGCCCCCUGGGCCUGUACUGACGCUCAUGCACGAAAGCGUGGGGAGCAAACAGG